GAUCCCGCGAGGGAUGGUCUGAAGGAAGCCCGAGUGCAAACCUGCGAGCUGACGAACAGAAAUUUCAUAGAAGGCGUAGCCGCUGGGCGAGUCAGCACAAGAUGACGAAGCCCAACAGUACGAUGGUAGCGUAAAUGGGGCCGUUGUGCAGGGAAAGUUGUCGCU
This is a non-coding RNA of Nitrococcus mobilis Nb-231, 165 nucleotides long. The record is from Rfam. NCBI's taxonomy places the organism in Bacteria, Pseudomonadati, Pseudomonadota, Gammaproteobacteria, Chromatiales, Ectothiorhodospiraceae.